AUACGUAGGGGGCGAGCGUUGUCCGGAAUGAUUGGGCGUAAAGGGCGCGUAGGCGGCGCGGUAAGUCUGGAGUGAAAGUCCUGCUUUCAAGGUGGGAAUUGCUUUGGAUACUGCCGCGCUUGAGUGCAGGAGAGGUUAUCGGAAUUCCCGGUGUAGCGGUGAAAUGCGUAGAGAUCGGGAGGAACACCAGUGGCGAAGGCGGGUAACUGGACUGCAACUGACGCUGAGGCGCGAAAGUGUGGGGAGCAAACAGGAUUAGAUACCCUGGUAGUCCACGCCGUAAACGAUGAGUGCUAAGUGUUAGGGGGUUUCCGCCCCUUAGUGCUGCAGCUAACGCAUUAAGCACUCCGCCUGGGGAGUACGGUCGCAAGACUGAAACUCAAAUGAAUUGACGGGG
This 397-nucleotide ribosomal RNA is filed under the name uncultured bacterium. RNAcentral's name for it is "partial 16S ribosomal RNA". It matches the Rfam family "Bacterial small subunit ribosomal RNA", at positions 523 to 918 of the family's 1533-position model. The record is from RNAcentral.